Dermacentor silvarum is the source of this 347-nucleotide long non-coding RNA. RefSeq lists it as uncharacterized. NCBI's taxonomy places the organism in Eukaryota, Metazoa, Arthropoda, Arachnida, Ixodida, Ixodidae. The record is from RefSeq and is a predicted model, not a curated record. The transcript is spliced from 3 exons.
GAAGCUGAGGCAUCUGCAGGGAGGAGACCGAAGCAGGCACAUCGUGGUGGCAGCAGGCCUAUGGAACUACGACGAGCCUUAUGCCUGGACGACCUAUCAGGCCCAGUUCCACGUGCUCGCCGGGUUUGACGUAGACAUCCUGAUAAGCAUAAGCAGCGUGGGUACUAUGGAAUCAGACAAGAUCUGCUUUGCCGCACCACCGACCGUCUGGAACUCAACAAACACAGUCUUCGCCGGCUUCGUGUGCGACCCGCACGUGAACUUGACGAGAAUGGACGACCUUCCCGUGGAAUUUGGAGCCACUUCCACUUCCGUCUUUUUCUACGAUAGCUGGGAGACAAUCAAGA